GCGCUUGCUGCGCAGCAUGUAUACUAAAGUAAGAGCGAUAAGCGAAGAUUAGCAUGGCCCCUGUGCAAGGAUCACAGGCAAAUUCAUGAAGCCUUCCAUAUUUUU
Jaculus jaculus (lesser Egyptian jerboa) is the source of this 105-nucleotide small nuclear RNA. NCBI's taxonomy places the organism in Eukaryota, Metazoa, Chordata, Mammalia, Rodentia, Dipodidae. The record is from Ensembl.